RNAcentral lists this long non-coding RNA (432 nucleotides) under Androctonus crassicauda. Lineage: Eukaryota; Metazoa; Arthropoda; Arachnida; Scorpiones; Buthidae. The record is from RNAcentral.
GAGGAAUUUCAUUCCCCAUCCUGACAAUUUCUACAGGUGGGACUAUUAAUAAUUCCAAUUAAAUGAAGGUGCCUUCUAAGAUGACAAUAAGGAACCCCAUAAUAAUCCUAGUUUCAUUUCUAUGCAGAGAAAGCAACUCUUUAGUUCUUUGUACAGAGGAGCCCAAAAUGAGAGCUUUCACCUGCCUAAAUCCAGGAGUAGAUCUCCAGUAAAUGAAAUGCUGAGCUGUCAACCAAUCCUUGACAAUCUACCCAAAUUUAUCAAAUCUGAUGCUCAGAGCAGACUUAGGUCCAAUAAGCAAUUUCAUUGCCCUUCUCUUGUAAAAGAUCAACUUCAUUGACCACUAUCUUGGAGUCUGAGUAGCCCUCCUUGAUAAUGGCCAUCCAAAGGGAAGUCAAUGCUUCAGAGUAUAAUCCUAGUUGAGAACACAGG